Molecule: long non-coding RNA, 6263 nt
Filed under: Brassica napus (rape)
Lineage: Eukaryota; Viridiplantae; Streptophyta; Magnoliopsida; Brassicales; Brassicaceae
Description: long non-coding RNA (BNAP_LNC004803)
Source: RNAcentral
CACAGACAUACCUGAAGAUAAAUAUCAAACAAACGUUCGCCGAGGCUGUAAAGAGUCUUGUCAUCCGUAAAGAUGAUCUCAGCGAAGUGGAGGUGUACAGUGUAGUUACCAUUUCCAAGGCAGAGUCCAUAGUAAGUUAGCGAUGACGGAGAGACUCUAGCUGUCCUGUAAAGUCCAAAGCUGAGACAGGAAGCAUUAGCAGAUAAUCUAGAUGUGUUCUGUACAAUGUAAUCAUCGGCAUCAUCAUCAUUGUCCAUGAAGUUCCCAGUGCUGCUAUACGCCCAGUGAUUGACACUGAAGAACAUAGAAGGACCUUUGGAGUUUUGGUCAGCUUCAUAUGUUGUUCCUUUAUCCACUUUAAGUUCUCCUCCUCCACAGUUUAUGUACAAAUUAUACUUAUCUACAAAUUUAAAAAAAAAAAAUCAAAUUUUAAUCAAGAACAUUAGACCUGAUCCGCAUUUACUUCAAGUGUUAAAAACUUUGCUUACGAUCUCUCUUAGGAAGUCGACAAGGGAUGUGAUGAAGGUAACAUGAUGAUUCCUUGCGUCUGAAACAUCAAACAAAGAGAAUGUUUUCUUUCAGUUCACUAAAUAUAUGAUUAAAAAUGCACUACAGAGAGAGAGAGACGGUUUCUUACGAUUUAUUCCCCGUGGAGAAGCUUUCCACCCAAUUACUAGGAAAUGAAGCAAAGCAUUUGUUAUUUCUGCUAACGAAUGAGCAAAGUAUUCUGAAUAUAGGAGUACACUUACGAGGUAACAUCGCUGCAUUUACUCCCGGUAAUUGUACUUGCAUCGGUGAAGUUGUUGUAAGAAACAUCACUGCACAUAUCAAGAAGAACAAAUACAGUUUUUAAAACCUGUGCUAAGUGGUGAAACUGAGAUUUAGCAGAGGGAUAACGUACACGUUUUUGUUUUUAUUAACGAAGUAGCUUGGAAUAGCUCCUGUCAGCUUGUUUCCUGUCAAAUAACUGAAAGAGAAGAUUUAGAAAAGCUUUCGUGAUUAGGAAGAAUAUUAAAAGCUAUUUUUCUUCUUUUUUUUCCUUAGUGAACUGACGCACGCACUUACAUGAAAUCGGCUUUCUUCAUAUUUUCAAACGUUGAAGGAAUCUCACCAGUUAGCUGGUUGAAGCUGAGGUCACUACAUAGUAAACAGAGACUUCAAUCUCAUGAAAAUAUAAAUAAUAUUGAAGGUCUACUUUGGUCAACGUAUGAACAUGACUUACAGUGUUUUAAGCUUCUUCAGCUUCCCAAUAUACUUUGGAAUUUCACCAUUUAAAUUGCAUUUUCUCAGUAUCCUGCAUUGGAAGUUGAAUAAAAUAAGGUUGCUAGCAAAACUUAUACCAAGUAGACAACACAAAUGUUGUAUUGUUUUUAAGUUUUAACUCACAGUGUCUUGAUAGAGUCCAAGUUAUUCAAUGGAGGGAAAGGAGAAGCUUUGCCUCCUAAGUCGCUAAUUCUCCUGUCAAUCAUAAUCCACCAAAAUAAAAGCUAUGAUGAUAAAUGUUUCACGAGGAAACCGAAGUUGGUUUUGUCAAUGGCUUACAGGUCGGUCAGGCUGGUUAAGGCUGACCCUCCCAACCCGACGUCGUCUUCUCCAUCGUCGGCUCCCCCUCCGACGUCCGCCGCGUCCUCCUCGAUCCAACCUCCGGCGCCUUAUCCGGCCUAUCUCCCGGCGGCGUCCUCGUCGACAUGACCACCUCCGAGCCUUCUCUAGCCGAGGAGAUCUCCAAAUCAGCUUCCUCCGCGGGCUGCUUCUCAGUCGACGCUCCCGUCUCCGGCGGAGACCUCGGCGCUAAAAACGGGAAGCUCUCGAUCUUCGCCGGGGGAGACGAAGCAACGGUGAAGCGUCUGGAUCCAUUGUUUCGUUUAAUGGGGAAAGUCAACUUCAUGGGAGGGAGCGGGAAGGGGCAGUUCGCUAAGCUAGCGAAUCAGAUCACGAUCGCUUCGACGAUGGUGGGGCUCGUCGAAGGGAUCGUGUACGCUCACAAGGCCGGGCUCGAUGUGAGGAAGUUUCUAGAAGCGAUUUCGACCGGAGCCGCGGGUUCGAAGUCGAUAGAUUUGUAUGGGGAGAGGAUUCUCAAGAGGGAUUUCGAUCCGGGGUUCUAUGUGGAUCAUUUCGUUAAGGAUUUGGGGAUUUGUUUGAACGAGUGUCAGAGGAUGGGGUUGGCUUUGCCUGGGCUGGCUCUUGCGCAGCAGCUUUACUUGUCUCUCAAGGCACAUGGUGAAGGUGGUCUUGGAACUCAAGCUCUCAUCUUGGCUCUUGAGCGACUUAAUAAUGUCUCUGUUCAACCAAGUGUCUGAUUAUGUUUUUAUGUUGAUUUGGAGAAAAAAGAUUUGAACUUUUGUUGUGUAUCGUUGCUUAAACAUGAACUUUUGCUGGAAUGUGUAUUGUUUAGAUAUAUAGAAGUGUAUUGUUGGUUAGUUGCAAAUGCAAUUUAACACCGGAAAACGUAGAAACCUGAGGUAGAAUGGAUGUCAAACUGUUUUUAUUCGAAUUUGAGGUGAUUUAGAAAUUUAUAGGUUAAGUUUUGAGUCUGACUCGUUACAAACCAAGAUACGUUCUCAUGUUUGUGCAAGUUGAAUUACCGAUAAUAAGAAAACUUUGGGGCUUGGACGCAGUUAUGAGAGUCUCAACUCUUGAGUUGCUAUUUCGUUUAUGAUCCAUCACCCUAAAAGCUUGACAAAUUUCUUAGUUGAUGUAAAAUUGGACUAGAUGUGUGAUGUAGAAUUUCUUUUUGUUUCUAGUGAGCUUUAGCCAUUUAGGAGAGUGGUUGACUUGAGACUGAUAACUGGUAGUGCUGAUUUGUGAAAUGUGAAAUGUGAAAUCUGGAAAACAAUUGUAUAAUGUGUAUUAGGCCUGGGCAUAUAGUCCGAACAGAAACAAAACCUUUGUCCGACAAAAGCGGUGCGGGGUCAAGUUUGGAUCCUUCGGAAAAACGAAUGUACUCAGAUUUUUGGUAUAUUGGAUUAUCGGGUUCGAGUAUUAUCGAAGAGUAGUAUAUCACACACCGACUUAGAGAACAUCCUUUUAGCAGAGUAGUUAAGAGGAAUCUAUACAAUGUAUGUUGCGGCGAAUCUAGAGUAUUUAUUUCCUGGGUGCACUAUUGAUAAUAAAAGCUAAAAAUGUACAAAUAAGUUUUGAACCUGGGUUAUUAUGGGUGCACAAACUAACUUUUACCAUCUAAUCCACAAAAAUCUAUAUGUUUUUACCCAUAAAAAUUUGAGUCUUAAAAUAUCUAUGGGUGCAUGUGCCACCACACCACAUAAGGUGGCUUCGCCAGUCUAUAGAGACACUGCCCACUGCAUUUGCACUCGAGAAGAAAUGAAGACGAUACACUUGCUUAGAUAUGUUGAGUUGUCAUUGUUGAUAAGUUUUUUUUUUGUUAAUAUGCCUCUAUUGUUUUAAGUGUCAUUAAUUUAUGAAGGUAACAUGUUUCGUCUAGAAUAUGAGCGAAGCUGUAUACAUUAAUGAAUUUAGUGAACGGAGUUCUAAUUUCUAAUUAAUUAUAUAUGCAAAGACAAUGUUCAAAAGAGAAACUGUUUUGGAUCAUACACUUAAAAUUGUACAAACUUUCACGAGAUGCAACAUCUACAUUAUCCAAGUUGGUGAUCAAAGACUUGUUCGUUCCUUCUUUAACUCUUUCGCUAAAACUAAUAUUUGCAGCUCUUCGUCCAUCGUCUGGAACUUGUGCACUAAAUUUUUAAAAUCCCAACAUUAUUAAUUUAUAGAAGUAUAUCUUAUUAAAUCUAAAUAAAAAGCAUAUAUACUUUGAUAUUAUGAUUUAUUUUAUUCCAUUAACAGCACCAAGAUGAUAAUGUAGAAAUCUCAAAUCACCGGAAAUCUUAUAUAUAAUUUACCAAUGAAGAUUGAUUUGUAUAAAAUCCAAAUUACUGAAUCCACCUGGAAAACUUUAAGGUCAAAACAUUUUUACAGUUUGGAGAUAUAAUGUCUUGAUUAUAUAUACACUUAAAAAGUAUAAAUAAAAACUUCACCACUCCUAUAAAUCUCUCACUUAGAAAUUGGAACAUAAUAAGAGGUUAAUUAAUCCAAAAGUCCAGUCUUCUCCUCAGCAUCAAGUUGUGAAUUGGCAGAGGCAGUUUUAGGCCCGCUUGUAGUAGAGAAGCUAAGCGUUCGGCUAAACUCGUUCUGCCAAAAAUGGUUCCUCAAUGCUUUAAGCUUCGGGUUAACCGUUGAGAAGCUAGGAUCCGACAGCAACUCUUGCAUCGCUGUCUUUCCCUCUAACAGACUCACCACUUGAGACAUCGUAGGCCUUAGCGUCGGUGACGCGUUGGUGCACAUCAAAGCCACGUUCAACAUCAGCAUGGCUUCUUCUUCUGAGUAAUCAGAGGCUAACGUCGGAUCAACCAGCUCUAGUAAACAUCCCUUCUCUUGCAAAACGUAAGCCUGCAUGUAUUUGAAUGCGACAACGUUACAUACUUUGGUUUAUGAUAUUCUUUUGAGUGAAAAAUAAAAAAAAAUGAGAAUGUUUUACCCAAUCAAGAAGGUAAACGAACUCCUCGCUUGGCCUAAAGUUUGUGUUACUCUUCCCACUUACGAUCUCGAGUGCAACGACGCCAAAGCUAUAAACAUCUGCUUUCUCAGUCAAGUAACCACGCAUGGCGUAUUCUGGAGCCAUAUAACCUCUGCAAUACAAAUACAAAAUAUCAAAAAAAAAAAAAGUAUCCUUAAAAGAGUAUUUACGAGUAAAAAGAGAGAGACUUACACAGUUCCUGCAAUACGAGUGCUGAUGUGAGUGUUUCCAUCAUCGUUCAGCUUCGCCAAACCAAAGUCGGAGAUCUUGGCGUUGAGAUCCUUAUCGAGUAACACGUUGCUCGCCUUUAUAUCUCUGUGUACAAUUUUUAUCCUAGACUCUUCGUGGAGAAAUGUAAGUCCUUUAGCUAUCCCCAAACAAAUCUUCUUCCUCGUUGACCAGUCUAGUUUCAGCCUAGCACUCACAUCCUUUCCUACAAAAGCUCACAGAGAUUUAGAGCAUGCGGCAUGGUUCAGUAGCAAACUCAGGAUAAAAAAAAAUAUAUAUAUUAAAACGUACCAAAGAGAGCACGAGAUAGACAGUUGUUCUCCAAAUACUCAUACACCAAUAUCAACUGGUUUCCUUCAACACAGCAACCAUAUAGCUUCACAAGAUUUGGAUGUUGUAGAGCUGAGAUCAUUCCUAUCUCAUUUACAAACUCGCGGUUUCCCUGCCUUGAUUUUGCAGACAAUUGUUUUACUGCAAUCAACUUUCCUUCUGACAAUACACCCUGCACCAAGAAAUGGGACCGGACCACCUUCUAGUUUUACUGUGAAACUUUUCAUAAAAAAAGUUGAAGAACACAAGUGAAUUUUUACCUUGUACACAGAGCCAAAUCCACCUUCACCAAUCUUCAAUGUUGCAUCGAAAUUAUCAGUGGCUGCUUUUAUCUGUCGCAGAGUGAAACUUCCGGUUUGAAGAUCUAAAUUCCUUAGCUCUGUUCAGUCAUAGACCAAUCAAUAUAUAAGUACUCUUCAGACAUGUGAAUAGAUUCUAUAAGAUUCAUAAGAAAACCAAAGCUUAUAUACCUUUGUCAAUAGCAUUUUUGUCAAGUCUUUUCUUCAAGAAUAUACCAAAUAUGAGCAAUAAAAGAAGUGCUGCUGCAACAGGUAUCCCUGCUUUUAGUAUGAUCUCUUUCUUGUCAUGAUACACAGGAGGUUUGAAAUCUGAAACAAGCAACUAUGAGAUUCCAUGAUCCAUUUUUAAAAUGCAAGUAAGAAAAAAAAACUUACUUGGUUCCACUGAUAUAGCUGAUAUCAUAGGACCAUAAACUCCUCUAAUAGGAAUGCCUGUUGUCCCUUUCCCCGCCCACCUCAAGCCAAUCUUCACAUUGUGGUCCGUUACAUUUACCGGAAAGGAUUUUAUGACUGGCUUACCUGAUCCACUAGCUGCUUCUUGAAUGUUGAAGUUCUUAAUGACCAACUUAUCCUGUGUUCAGAGAAAUGAGUAAGAACACUAUAUGUCAUGGUUUACAUUUUUUUCUACAGAGUUCCACAGACAUACCUGAAGAUAAAUAUCGAACAAACGUUUUCCGAGGCUGUAAAGAGUCUUGUCAUCGGUGAAGAUGAUCUCAGCGAAGUGAAGGUGUACAGUGUAGUUACCAUUUCCAAGGCAGAGUCCAUAGUAAGUUAGCGAUGACGGAGAGACUCUAGCUGUCCUGUAAAGUCCAAAGCUGGGAGAGGAAGCAUUAACUGUCAAUCUGGAUGUGUUCUGUACAAUGUAAUCAUCAGCA